GACGAACGCUGGCGGCGUGCUUAACACAUGCAAGUCGAACGGAAAGGCCCUGCUUUUGUGGGGUGCUCGAGUGGCGAACGGGUGAGUAACACGUGAGUAACCUGCCCUUGACUUUGGGAUAACUUCAGGAAACUGGGGCUAAUACCGGAUAGGAUCUCCUGCUGCAUGGUGGGGGUUGGAAAGUUUCGGCGGUUGGGGAUGGACUCGCGGCUUAUCAGCUUGUUGGUGGGGUAGUGGCUUACCAAGGCUUUGACGGGUAGCCGGCCUGUGAGGGUGGACGGGCACAUUGCGACUGCGAGACGGACCAGACUCCUACGGGAGGCAGCGGUGGGAAAUAUUACACAAUGAGCGGAAGCCUGAUGCAGAGACGCCGCGUGCGUGAUGACGUCCUUCUGGGUAUAAACCGCUUUCGCCUGAGACGAAGCGGGAGUGACGGUAAUGGGUAAAGAAGCACCGGCUAACUACGUG
RNAcentral lists this ribosomal RNA (468 nucleotides) under uncultured bacterium. RNAcentral's name for it is "partial 16S ribosomal RNA". It matches the Rfam family "Bacterial small subunit ribosomal RNA", at positions 28 to 507 of the family's 1533-position model. The record is from RNAcentral.